RNAcentral lists this ribosomal RNA (516 nucleotides) under uncultured bacterium. RNAcentral describes it as "bacterial SSU rRNA". It matches the Rfam family "Bacterial small subunit ribosomal RNA", at positions 791 to 1300 of the family's 1533-position model. The record is from RNAcentral.
UAGUCCACGCCGUAAACGAUGUCAACUAGCCGUUGGGCUCCUUGAGGACCUAGUGGCGCAGCUAACGCGAUAAGUUGACCGCCUGGGGAGUACGGCCGCAAGGUUAAAACUCAAAUGAAUUGACGGGGGCCCGCACAAGCGGUGGAGCAUGUGGUUUAAUUCGAUGCAACGCGAAGAACCUUACCAGGCCUUGACAUCCUGCGAACUUUCUAGAGAUAGAUUGGUGCCUUCGGGAGCGCAGUGACAGGUGCUGCAUGGCUGUCGUCAGCUCGUGUCGUGAGAUGUUGGGUUAAGUCCCGUAACGAGCGCAACCCUUGUCCUUAGUUGCCAGCACGUAACGGUGGGAACUCUAAGGAGACUGCCGGUGACAAACCGGGAGGAAGGUGGGGACGACGUCAAGUCAUCAUGGCCCUUACGGGCCUGGGGCUACACACGUGCUACAAUGGCCGGUACAGAGGGGUUGCCAAGCCGCGAGGGUGGAGCUAAUCCCAGAAAACCGGGUCGUAGUCCGGGAUC